Molecule: ribosomal RNA, 468 nt
Filed under: uncultured bacterium
Lineage: Bacteria
Description: partial 16S ribosomal RNA
Rfam family: Bacterial small subunit ribosomal RNA
Source: RNAcentral
GACGAACGCUGGCGGCGUGCUUAACACAUGCAAGUCGAACGGAAAGGCCCUGCUUGUUUGGUGUGCUCGAGUGGCUAACGGGUGAGUAACGCGUGAGUAACCUGCCCUUGACUAUGGUGUAACUUCCGGAAGCUUGGGCGAAUACAGUAUCGGAUCUCCUGCUGCAUGGUGGGGGUUGGAAAUUUUCGGCGGGUGGGGAUGGACUCGCGGCUUAUCAGCUUGUUGUUGGGGUAGGGGCUUACCAAGGCUUUGACGGGUAACGGGCCUGAGAGGUUGACCGGCCACAUUGGGACUGAGAUACGGCCCAGACUCAUAUGGGAGGCAGCAGGGGGGAAUAUUGCACAAUGGGCGGAAGCCUGAUGCAGCAACGCCGCGUGCGGGAUGACGGCCAUCGGGUUGUAAACCGCUGUCGCCUGUGAAGAAGAGUGAGUGACGGUAAUGGGUAAAGAAGCACCGGCUAACUACGUG